AUUGAACGCUGGCGGCAGGCUUAACACAUGCAAGUCGAGCGGAGCGAGGGUGCUUGCACCUUAGCUUAGCGGCGGACGGGUGAGUAAUGCUUAGGAAUCUGCCUAUUAGUGGGGGACAACAUUCCGAAAGGGAUGCUAAUACCGCAUACGCCCUACGGGGGAAAGCAGGGGAUCUUCGGACCUUGCGCUAAUAGAUGAGCCUAAGUCGGAUUAGCUAGUUGGUGGGGUAAAGGCCUACCAAGGCGACGAUCUGUAGCGGGUCUGAGAGGAUGAUCCGCCACACUGGGACUGAGAAACGGCCCAGACUCCUACGGGAGGCAGCAGUGGGGAAUAUUGGACAAUGGGCGGAAGCCUGAUCUAGCCAUGCCGCGUGUGUGAAGAAGGCCUUUUGGUUGUAACGCACUUUAAGCGAGGAGGAGGCUACUAGUAUUAAUACUACUGGAUAGUGGACGUUACUCGCAGAAUAAGCACCGGCUAACUCUGUGCCAGCCGCCGCCGUAA
RNAcentral lists this ribosomal RNA (501 nucleotides) under uncultured bacterium. RNAcentral's name for it is "partial 16S ribosomal RNA". It matches the Rfam family "Bacterial small subunit ribosomal RNA", at positions 30 to 523 of the family's 1533-position model. The record is from RNAcentral.